GCUGUGGUGGCUCAAUGGGUUGAGCAUUGUCCCAUGAACCAAGAGGCCCUGGGUUCGAUUCCCAGUCAGGGCA
RNAcentral lists this transfer RNA (73 nucleotides) under Myotis davidii. It matches the Rfam family "tRNA". From Rfam's summary of the family: Transfer RNA (tRNA) molecules are approximately 80 nucleotides in length. Their secondary structure includes four short double-helical elements and three loops (D, anti-codon, and T loops). Lineage: Eukaryota; Metazoa; Chordata; Mammalia; Chiroptera; Vespertilionidae. The record is from Rfam by way of RNAcentral.